RNAcentral lists this ribosomal RNA (497 nucleotides) under uncultured bacterium. Its description in RNAcentral is "partial 16S ribosomal RNA". It matches the Rfam family "Bacterial small subunit ribosomal RNA", at positions 28 to 507 of the family's 1533-position model. The record is from RNAcentral.
GAUGAACGCUGGCGGCGUGCCUAAUACAUGCAAGUCGAGCGAACAGACGAGGAGCUUACUCCUCUGACGUUAGCGGCGGACGGGUGAGUAACACGUGGAUAACCUACCUAUAAGACUGGGAUAACUUCGGGAAACCGGAGCUAAUACCGGAUAACAUGUUGAACCGCAUGGUUCAACAGUGAAAGACGGUCUUGCCGUCACUUAUAGAUGGAUCCGCGUCGCAUUAGCUAGUUGGCAAGGUAACGGCUUACCAAGGCAACGAUGCGUAGCCGACCUGAGAGGGUGAUCGGCCACACUGGAACUGAGACACGGUCCAGACUCCUACGGGAGGCAGCAGUAGGGAAUCUUCCGCAAUGGGCGAAAGCCUGACGGAGCAACGCCGCGUGAGUGAAGAAGGUCUUCGGAUCGUAAAACUCUGUUAUUAGGGAAGAACAAAUGUGUAAGUAACUAUGCACGUCUUGACGGUACCUAAUCAGAAAGCCACGGCUAACUACGUG